Molecule: small RNA, 4351 nt
Filed under: Rattus norvegicus (Norway rat)
Lineage: Eukaryota; Metazoa; Chordata; Mammalia; Rodentia; Muridae
Description: uncharacterized LOC108351497
Source: RNAcentral
UUUCCUGUAGUAAAGAAAAGUAAACGGGUAGGUUAAUUGUGAAUAUAAAGUAUUUAAGGGAUUUUUAUAAAUGUAUUCAUAAAAUAAUAUAAAGAUGUGCCUUUCCACAAAAUGUGAUCCUUUUCAGGUUUAUUAUGAAAGGUCAAAUUGUGUUCCAGGUCAGUGAAACCCUUCAGGAUAUAGUACUCAGGAAAUAUUUUAUGACUUGACUUGGCAAUGAAAAAGGGCUGAUUUGGAGAAAUGGGAAUGGCCAACAUAAGCACAGAAGCUGUACCCCAGAAAAAAGGAUUAGAAGGACAAAGAUCAGAUAAAUGAGCAGACAGGGUCCUGUUGUGGGUUCCAGCAGAGGGACCUAGAGGUGACACUGAAUACAUGAUUUCUGUCUGAGUCUUCAAGGUCUGUAGAAAUGUUAGAUGCAUCCGGUGGCUCAUUUGGGAAACAGCCCUGAGGAGAAAACUCUCAGUUUUCAAAAAAAAAAUAGAAAGAGAAAAAGAAGAGAAAGAAGAAGAGAGAUGACAAAAAGGCCGAAGUGUAAGAAAAAGGACCCAGGGACAGGUGCCAGCUCGGCCGGCCGGAGGUUGGCUGGAGGGGAAGGUUAGAGAUUUCCUUUCCCACCACCCAGACAGUGCCACUGGCAAGGACAUUGGGAUCUUGGAUCGAUCCCAAACGCCCCGGAAAACUGGGUCGCUUUCGCCCUAGCUAACCUUGAAUUCAAGUCAAUCCUCCAGCGUCAGCCUCUCAAGUGCUUGCCCGCAGGUGUGUACCACUCAUGCCCAUUCCAUAAAUGGAACGUUCAGUGACUAUGAGGCACUGGUCACUGCUACCGCUUUAUUCUGCUCAGCCAGCCUCAGCAGCAUCCUGGAGAGACCAGCUCUGCUACUCCGCCUGGAGCCCACCCUCCUGACCUCGAACUUCAGCUACAGAGUGAGACCACACCCUUCCCGUCCACAGGGCAGUGAUGUAAAUGUGGUGUGGAAGAGACUAGGAGGACCUAGCCCAGAGCCUCCUGCAGGGGGAAGUGGCCAUCAAUGGUGGCCUUUAUGGUGGCUGGCCUCGGAUGGGACUGGGAAGGAGUCAGAGCUUGGGAACAGAGGGAGCUAUUGUAUGAGGGAGCGGGGUGCUCCCUGAAGAGAGCAGCAAGAGUCCUCACCCGCCAGACCCUUGCUGGCCCUACUUCAUUAUUUGUAGUGGCAUUCGCCCAUCAGCCUGGGAGUCCGUGGAGGGAACUCUACCAGCACAGCAGCCGCCACAUUUUCCCAUACCCUGGAUUUGCCCGCUUCCAUCCAAGAUUAACCACCUUCCACUGUGCGAACAUUGUCUCAGACAGCAUUCGCGAUGUGGCCUCAGAGCAGAUAAAGGGCUGUUCAUUGUCACUGCAGAAGGAAAUGGGGGAAGGUCCCUCCAGCGUGCCCUGCUAGAGAUGACAACUGGGUGCGCCUCCUCAUUCCGUGACCUCUUGACCUUAGCCACCCGUGGGAGAAUUUACACCAUGGAAAGAGGCCAAUGCCGUAGCCCAGGACAAGCUGCAGAAGCAUUUAUCAGCACAAUCACUGUCCCCAAGGAAUUGGAAAUGGUGACUUGGUCCUGAACACCCCACUUAGGGCAUCAGAUUGGUUUCCUGUGCAGGAGGCCAGGUGUGAGAGAAGGGUUAGGGGGAUAGCACCCUCUACCCUAACAAGCCGAGGGUCCCUACUCCCAAGCCUCAUUUCCUGCCAGCCAGCUGGACCCCGGAUGUUUCUGAGAGCUGACCUUGACCCUCCCUGCUGAUGAAGGCUGGAGCUAUAGUGGAAGGAAAUUCGACACGCCAGGAAUGGCUCCCUCCAAAGGACACAGGCUCAAGAAGCCUUCUGCCCAACCCGGCUGAGGGCAGAACUGGAUCAGAACUGAAUCCUUGAGAUGACUUCUCUCACAGGGGCAGAGACAACUUUGAGUCACUCUGGCUGUCAGACCCUUAUUAAUAUCUGCUAUGUUUGCAGAUUCCAUCUUCGUAAGUCACUUUGUGAUAAAGUGGCUUCCUGCGGCCGGCUCAUCUGGACGCAGUAAUGUUUUCAUUGAUCUGCUGAUGCGUGCAUCCUGCUGCACCGGAUGGAAGGCUGCCUCUAACAGCCGGAUUCUCGGGUAUCAAAUUCCAGGAACAGCUCCAAGGCCAGGCACCUCUGACACUCCCAUUGUCAGUGAGCUCAGCCGUGGGCUGCAGAGGUAGGUCUGUGAAGGCCUUCCAGUACAACCGGCCUCCUACUCCUAGGUGUCCCUUGCCUCUGGACUCUGUGUCCAACACAGUGCCUGGUACCAUAAGGUGCUUUAUUGCCACCAGUGCAGUCAACAUGCAAUAGAUGACAAAUGACUCUGGCUUAGGCAGGAUGGAUGACUUCAAAAUAGUUCACAGACCUCAGAUCACAUUACUGUGAGUCUGUCUGUCUGUCUGUCUGUCUGUCUGUCUGUCUAUCUAUCUAUCUAUCUAUCUAUCUCUCCUUCUCCCUCACCCUCCAUCACCCUCUCUCAUAAGAAAAAAGUAAAAAACAGCUCAUGGAUGUGUUUCUAUACCUGCGUUUGACAAAUGUUUUGUGUGCUAAGAUAGCUCAGCGGUGUGCAGGGGCAGCUUCUAUGGUCUGGAGUGGGGCCUUUCCAGAUUCUGGAUAUGUUCAAGGGGCUACCAGGGCCUGGAUUCUAGAACAAGAAAAGAUGGCUGUGGCUAGUAAGCCCCUCCCACAUGGCUGUGCAUACCAGGAAACAACCCAGGCUUCAUUCUGCUGUGCUCUCUGACUGGUAGACCACUCUCUGUGGUACCACCCUUUGUGGGACAGCAAAGGGUGCCCGUUCUAGCCAGCAUCAGUCAUCUUUCUUCAUUGCUAUGACACCUGACAGACCUGAUUUAAAGGGGGAGAAAUCUAUUUCAGCUCACAGUUUUGAGGGUAAGACCCAGCAGGGCAGGUGAAUCAUGGUAUUGAGAGCUACUCUGUGAUGGCAAGAGCUUACAGCUGCUGCUGCUUCACAUCUUGGUGGACCAGGAAGUAGAACGAAGACCAGUUCCCAAUGACUCAUUCCUGUUAAUCAGCCGAGGGUCACAUUCAAACUAUACCGGUGUAGACCAGUGUCCUAGAACCUUUUGGUUAUGUUUUCUUAUUACUCCAGAAAGUUCUGGAACUUUGUUCUGGGUCCCCAUUGCUAGGGAACAAGCCACCCCCAAACUGGGGAGGUUUGAGAAGACAGAGCAUGCAAGACCUAUUGUGGGGUGAGGCUCUGGUUUAUUCAAAGGUGCACUGUCCCUCCUGAGGUGCUCUCUUCUCUCUCCUUCCUACUGCCUGUCUUGGCAGCAACAGGACAGGGCCAUGCCAGGUUAGCCUCCUGUGACUUUUAGGGCAUGCUAUUCUCAAGGGCUGUGGGACUCUUAACUGCCUGCUUGAGGCUGUGUAAGUCCCAUUGUCCUGGUGAACAAGGGACAAGCUGUGUGACUCCUGGUGACCCAGCCCGGGACUCUGAAAGCAUGCUUUCCUUGGACUUCAUUGGCCAAUGUCAUCAUGGGAGAGCUAGGGAGUCUGUCUCUCUAAGUUUCGUGGCAAAGAAUUGAGCAGUGAUCUGGGUUAGGCAGACAGGAGGAAGUAGGGAAGCCCUUUCCCCUUGGCCGCUUUCUUUUCCUGUCUCCUCUCUCAGUUGGGGCACAUCUCUUAUCCUCAGCUUUUCUGCUCUUGAGAUCCUCGAAUAGGAAGAGCAUCCCCUUUCUGGGGAAGCAAACUCAGAGUGGGGGAUGUCAGACAGUUAGAAACAAUAAGCACUAUAGCACUUGUGCCUCGUGGCCCACCGGGUCCCUGGUACAGAGAUGGGAUCACAAAGUGUGACAAACACUCUUGGCCUGUAGGCUCCCACCCACUGACUUGCGACACUCGGACAAAGACUCAGCUUGACUUGGUGGUAGGAGUAUGUACCUACAGUAUAUACCAGCUACAUGAAAUACUGACCACCAUGCUUAAUACUGAUUGCCAGUGCAAUCUGAUCUUCGCAUGACUUGGGAGGGACUUUCUAGACUGAGUCAAUUGAGGUCAGAAGACCCAUUCUGAAUGUGACUGGCACCGUCCCAUGGGCUGUUUCUAGGCUGACUGAAAAGGAGAAGUCAAGUUGCAUGCCCGAAUUCGUCUCUCCUCAGUGCUUCCUGACGGCAGAUGCAAAGCGUCCAUCCAGCUGCCUCUUUCUGCUACACAGCAUACCUUCCCUGCCGAGAUGGACUGUCCACUCAACAUAUGAGGAAGAGAAGCUCUUUCCCGGCAAGUCGCUUCUAUCAAGAAUUAUAUCGGGGGCUGGAGAGAUGGCUCAGAGGUUAAGAGCACUGUCUGCUCUUCCAGAGGUCCUGAGUUCA